GACGAACGCUGGCGGCGUGCUUAACACAUGCAAGUCGAACGGAAAGGCCCUGCUUUUGUGGGGUUCUCGAGUGGCGAACGGGUGAGUAACACGUGAGUAACCUGCACUUGACUUUGUGAUAACUUCAGGAAACUGGGGCUCAUACCGGGUAGGAGCUCCUGCUGCAUGGUGGGGGUUGGAGAGUUUCGGCGGUUGGGGAUGGACUCGCGGCUUAUCAGCUUGUUGGUGGGGUAGUGGCUUACCAAGGCUGUGACGGGUAGCCGGCCUGAGAGGGUGACCGGCCACAUUGGGACUGAGAGACGGCCCAGACUGCUACGGGAGGCAGCAGUGGGGAAUAUUGCACAAUGGGCGGAAGCCUGAGGCAGCAACGCCGCGUGCGGGAUGACGGCCUUCGGGUUGUAAACCGCUUUCGCCUGUGACGAAGCGUGAGUGACGGUAAUGGGUAAAGAAGCACCGGCUAACUACGUG
This 468-nucleotide ribosomal RNA is filed under the name uncultured bacterium. RNAcentral's name for it is "partial 16S ribosomal RNA". It matches the Rfam family "Bacterial small subunit ribosomal RNA", at positions 28 to 507 of the family's 1533-position model. The record is from RNAcentral.